AGUGAACGCUGGCGGUAGGCCUAACACAUGCAAGUCGAACGGCAGCACAGGAGAGCUUGCUCUCUGGGUGGCGAGUGGCGGACAGGUGAGGAAUACAUCGGAAUCUACUUUUUCGUGGGGGAUAACGUAGGGAAACUUACGCUAAUACCGCAUACGACCUAAGGGUGAAAGCAGGGGAUCUUCGGACCUUGCGCGAUUGAAUGAGCCGAUGUCGGAUUAGCUAGUUGGCGGGGUAAAGGCCCACCAAGGCGACGAUCCGUAGCUGGUCUGAGAGGAUGAUCAGCCACACUGGAACUGAGACACGGUCCAGACUCCUACGGGAGGCAGCAGUGGGGAAUAUUGGACAAUGGGCGCAAGCCUGAUCCAGCCAUACCGCGUGGGUGAAGAAGGCCUUCGGGUUGGAAAGCCCUUUUGUUGGGAAAGAAAUCCAGCUGGUUAAUACCCGGUUGGGAUGACGGUACCCAAAGAAUAAGCACCGGCUAACUUCGUGCCAGCCGCCGCGGUAA
This 506-nucleotide ribosomal RNA is filed under the name uncultured bacterium. RNAcentral's name for it is "partial 16S ribosomal RNA". It matches the Rfam family "Bacterial small subunit ribosomal RNA", at positions 29 to 523 of the family's 1533-position model. The record is from RNAcentral.